This 254-nucleotide ribosomal RNA is filed under the name uncultured bacterium. Its description in RNAcentral is "partial 16S ribosomal RNA". It matches the Rfam family "Bacterial small subunit ribosomal RNA", at positions 524 to 776 of the family's 1533-position model. The record is from RNAcentral.
UACAGAGGUGGCAAGCGUUGUCCGGAAUUAUUGGGCGUAAAGAGCUCGUAGGCGGUUCGGCAAGUCGGAUGUGAAAUCUCCACGCUUAACGUGGAGGGGCCAUUCGAAACUGCCGUGACUCGAGUCCGGUAGGGGAGUGCGGAAUUCCCGGUGUAGCGGUGAAAUGCGCAGAUAUCGGGAGGAACACCAGUGGCGAAGGCGGCACUCUGGGCCGGAACUGACGCUGAGGAGCGAAAGCGUGGGGAGCGAACAGG